Molecule: long non-coding RNA, 1945 nt
Organism: Ictalurus punctatus (channel catfish)
Lineage: Eukaryota; Metazoa; Chordata; Actinopteri; Siluriformes; Ictaluridae
Source: Ensembl
UGAUUAUUCAUGUACUGUUACUGUAAAGUGUUACCGUUACAGUUCCUCUCGAUGUUGUGGAACGUCCACGAGACAACUUUUUGUUACAACUUUGGUUAGAGUCGAUCCUCUCUUGAGGUUAAUAAAACGAAAACGCAGCUCGUCAUGUUACCCAGAAACCUUCGCAGCCAGCACUACAGUCAGAGCGGUUAUUCUAGAAUAAAAAUCAAAAAUGUCACGCCGCAUAAGUAUAGCAGACUCGUGCAUUAGCUAUGAACGUCUAAUGCCGUAUACGACCCCCUGUACUGAAACGGAACUCUUUUGUUAAAUUUGUCCUCACCCAUACAGAGAACAUCUUUUGUUGUUAUUUAAAAGACACGUCUCUACUUACAGUAUCUUUAUAUAAUUCUUACAAAACUCUUCAAUCCUUCCUCAUUUCAAAAGACUCUUGAGCUCGCAGUGAAAGCGUUUGACUAAUGAGCGACAGAAAUGAGGGGGGGGAAACACGGACAAAAGCCCGAGCAGGUGUCUAAAGCGACACUCUGCCUCGUCUCAUCUCAGCUUCUUCAUAUCCACAGCCAUCCUGCUGCACGAUUAUACACGUCUCUUCAUCACGUUUUAAAGAAGUUGAGCAGCUUGUAACGUUUCCUCUGCCUAUUUUAUUUAUUUAUAUUUUUUUAUAUAUAUAUAUAAUUUUUUCAUUUUUUUCCCCGAGACACUUGACGCACCAUUAAUUUGACUCAACGCGCUAACGAUGAUUAUUUGUGCUUCCUUUGUUUUCUCUGAAGCCUUCACACCUUCAGUGCACUUUGAAAAAAUGAUUUCCAGCAGGUCUCAAUGUUGUUUUGUUUAUUUAUUUAUUUAUAUAUAUAUAUAUUUUUAUCGCUGCAUGGUCUGCUUAUUAUCACCUGCCUGAAUACACUUCAUUAGCACAUGAAUAUUUGGUGCAACUUUUCAUCCAGGAUUUAUCAAAGCCACGUUGAUUGAAAUGUGCUAAGAAUCGCAUGGGUAAUUGUUACUUUAGUAAAAAAAAAAAAAAAAAAACAUUUAUUUGAAAUAACAGACGAAGCUAGACUUUGCAGUUGAGUUUCUUAUUUCAUUUGAGACCCUGCAGACACCUGAUUUCAUUCCCUACACUGUAAAAAUAUAUUUUUUUGGAUUUAUACUAUUAUUGAUCUACUUAUUUAUUGUAUUUAUUUUACAAGCUAAUGUCCUGACUAAAGUGUUGACAUAUCCACUCAGAUUAAUUAAUCCCAUCCCUCAAAAAAAUCUGAAUAAAACCUUUUAUCCGAGAUGAAACUGAGAUCAGUCGGCGUGUAAGGAAAGAGAUCACAAGGUUUCUUUGUAGCCCUGUAGCAUUUCUCUUUAGUUGCCAGGUGUGUUGUUUUCACCACCUCUUGCCUUGACGUUUUCCACCUUCCCUGCGUUUGUAAUAUAAAUUCAUAAGCCAUGAUAAUAUUCUUGCAUUACUUGAAAAAACUAUGUUCGGUGUGGUCACUGAUAUUUCGUAGAAAUGCACAGUAUAACAACAUCUCACUGAGGCAGAGUAUUUAUGCUGGUCUUAAUGUUUGCAUCGCUCACACACGUACACACACACAUACACACACAGCCUCUCCUGCAUGUUACUCUUGUAAAUGUUCUUCUGUUUUUCUCCAUGGCUCAUUUCAGUGAGAAAGAGAUGAAAAUGACCAAAAAACAAUAAACACUUUAAAAAAAAAAAAGCCCAAAAGUGCAUAAUUUCUUGCAUGAUGAAAACUGAUCUCAUGAAACAUUCGUUCAACUUAAUACAAAUGAAAAUAUGUCAUAAGAAAAGGUAUUCGAGUGUAAAAUCAAGCAGGGGGAAAGUUUUUAUGUGAUGCAGCCAGACGCAAAGCAGACUCACUGCUACAGCACCAAAGUGGAUUAUUUUUGAAUAACAGCACGUCCUGAAGUAUUUUUUUAUUUCUGUUACACAGCAGAGGGGGGG